GACGAACGCUGGCGGCGUGCCUAAUACAUGCAAGUCGAGCGAAGUUUUUAUGGUGCUUGCACUAGUAACACUUAGCGGCGCACGGGUGAUUAACACGUAAAGAACCUGCCUCAUAGACUGGGACAACUAUUGGAAACGAUAGCUAAUCCCGGUUAACAGUAUUUCUCGUACCAGAGAACUAUAAAAGUUGGUUAUGCUAUCACUAUGAGAUGGCUUUGCGGUUCAUUAGCUAGUUGGUGGGGUAAAGGCCCACCAAGGCGACGAUGCAUAGCCGACCUGAGAGGGUGAUCGGCCACACUGGGACUGAGACACGGCCCAGACUCCUACGGGAGGCAGCAGUAGGGAAUCUUCCGCAAUGGGCGAAAGCCUGACGGAGCAACACCGCGUGAGUGAAGAAGGAUUUCGGUUCGUAAAGCUCUGUUGUUAGGGAAGAAUGGAUAUGUAGUAACUAUACAUGUAAGAGACGGUACCUAACCAGAAAGCCACGGCUAACUACGUG
Molecule: ribosomal RNA, 499 nt
Filed under: uncultured bacterium
Lineage: Bacteria
Description: partial 16S ribosomal RNA
Rfam family: Bacterial small subunit ribosomal RNA
Source: RNAcentral